Molecule: ribosomal RNA, 486 nt
Filed under: uncultured bacterium
Lineage: Bacteria
Description: bacterial SSU rRNA
Rfam family: Bacterial small subunit ribosomal RNA
Source: RNAcentral
AACGAACGCUGGCGGCGUGGAUAAGACAUGCAAGUCGAACGGGACUAAAUCUGUAGCAAUACAGGUUUAGUUUAGUGGCGAACGGGUGCGUAACACGUGGGCAAUCUGCCGAGAAGUGGGGGAUAGCUCGCCGAAAGGCGAAUUAAUACCGCAUAUGAUCAGCUAAGACAUCUUAGCGACAUCAAAGCCGGGGCAACCUGGCGCUUCUUGAUGAGCCCGCGGCCAUCAGCUAGUUGGUGAGGUAACGGCUCACCAAGGCUAUGACGGGUAGCUGGUCUGAGAGGACGACCAGUCACACUGGAACUGAGACACGGUCCAGACACCUACGGGUGGCAGCAGUGGGGAAUCUUGCGCAAUGGGGGAAACCCUGACGCAGCCAUGCCGCGUGAAUGAUGAAGGUCUUAGGAUUGUAAAAUUCUUUCAGCGGGGACGAUAAUGACGGUACCCGCAGAAGAAGCUCCGGCUAACUUCGUGCCAGCAGCCGCC